RNAcentral lists this small RNA (28 nucleotides) under Bombyx mori (domestic silkworm). RNAcentral describes it as "ovarian small RNA-29912". Lineage: Eukaryota; Metazoa; Arthropoda; Insecta; Lepidoptera; Bombycidae. The record is from RNAcentral.
UCUGAACUCACUGUGUUUCUGGUAAUGC